Molecule: ribosomal RNA, 115 nt
Organism: Danio rerio (zebrafish)
Lineage: Eukaryota; Metazoa; Chordata; Actinopteri; Cypriniformes; Danionidae
Source: Ensembl
GCCAGCAGCUAGCUCUCUGCAACUCUCACAUGGUUGCCCACUGAAGUUAAGCAGGGCAGUGCCCGGUCAUUAGCUGGAUGGGAGACCGCAUGAGAAAUCUAGGUUGCUGCUGGAA